Pelobates cultripes (western spadefoot toad) is the source of this 441-nucleotide non-coding RNA. The record is from the annotation of a GenBank genome assembly. NCBI's taxonomy places the organism in Eukaryota, Metazoa, Chordata, Amphibia, Anura, Pelobatidae.
GUGCAUUUAACGGCUUUUCUUCGACAACUCUAGCUUGAAAAAAUAAGACCGCAUCUGUGUGAACAGACAAAUACAGUGUUGGCUGCAUCACUAAGUCUAAUGGUUGCUAAAUGGUAUUGCAGAGAUUUCUGAAUUACAUUUCCUGUAGAAUGACUGAGUAUUAUGGGAAAUGUAAUACAGACAUCUGUAAUGCUAAGGCUAUCCAACUCUAACUAUUAUUAACUAAGCCAACUAAGUUAUAUCUUCUGUACCAAGCACUGUUCAGAAUGGAAUAUCCCUGGGUCACAGCUGUCUAGCUAAUCCUAGACUAUAACUCCAAUUACUUUUAAUUGCAGUCUAUCAUAACAUAUGGAUUUUAGCUAUAGAACAUCUCUAAUCCAUAAAGAAAUAACAGUUUUGUCUGCAAUUAUUCAACAAAUAUUUUGAACAAAUCCAUUCCAG